GUGCACGCUGGCGGUAGGCCUAACACAUGCAAGUCGAACGGCAGCACAGUAAGAGCUUGCUCUUACGGGUGGCGAGUGGCGGACGGGUGAGGAAUACAUCGGAAUCUACUUUUUCGUGGGGGAUAACGUAGGGAAACUUACGCUAAUACCGCAUACGACCUACGGGUGAAAGCAGGGGAUCUUCGGACCUUGCGCGAUUGAAUGAGCCGAUGUCGGAUUAGCUAGUUGGCGGGGUAAAGGCCCACCAAGGCGACGAUCCGUAGCUGGUCUGAGAGGAUGAUCAGCCACACUGGAACUGAGACACGGUCCAGACCCCUACGGGAGGCAGCAGUGGGGAAUAUUGGACAAUGGGCGCAAGCCUGAUCCAGCCAUACCGCGUGGGUGAAGAAGGCCUUCGGGUUGUAAAGCCCUUUUGUUGGGAAAGAAAAGCAGCAGGUUAAUACCCCGCUGUUCUGACGGUACCCAAAGAAUAAGCACCGGCUAACUUCGUGC
RNAcentral lists this ribosomal RNA (492 nucleotides) under uncultured bacterium. RNAcentral's name for it is "partial 16S ribosomal RNA". It matches the Rfam family "Bacterial small subunit ribosomal RNA", at positions 29 to 508 of the family's 1533-position model. The record is from RNAcentral.